This 376-nucleotide unclassified non-coding RNA is filed under the name soil metagenome. Its description in RNAcentral is "partial contains 5.8S ribosomal RNA, internal transcribed spacer 2, and large subunit ribosomal RNA". The stretch from base 1 to 120 matches the Rfam family "5.8S ribosomal RNA", at positions 35 to 154 of the family's 154-position model. The record is from RNAcentral.
GAUGAAGAACGUAGCGAAAUGCGAUAAGUAAUGUGAAUUGCAGAAUUCAGUGAAUCAUCGAAUCUUUGAACGCAUCUUGCGCUCCUUGGUAUUCUGAGGAGCAUGCCUGUUUGAGUGUCAUUAAAUUCUCAACUACACUGACUUUGAAUUGGUGUGGCUUGGAUUUGGGGGGAAAAUUGUUGUGGGCUUUUUGUAUAGUCUGCUCCCCUGAAAUUGAUUAGCGGUACCUUUGUGGAACUGUCUACAGGUGUGAUAAUUAUCUACAUCUUAGACAUCUGCUGGAAUGCUGCUUUCUAAACCUUACUUGUAUUGACAAUCUUGACCUCAAAUCAGGUAGAACUACCCGCUGAACUUAAGCAUAUCAAUAAGCGGAGGA